RNAcentral lists this ribosomal RNA (131 nucleotides) under Pyrobaculum aerophilum. RNAcentral also lists the same sequence under 1 other name. Lineage: Archaea; Thermoproteati; Thermoproteota; Thermoprotei; Thermoproteales; Thermoproteaceae. The record is from RNAcentral.
GCCCCUAACCCGGCCAUAGGCGCCGGUGAUACGCCCGGUCUCAUCAGAACCCGGAAGCUAAGGCCGGCGCCGCGCUCGGGAGUACUGGGCUCCGCGAGGGCCCGGGAAACCGGCGUGCUGGGAGGGGGCUU